Chelonoidis abingdonii (Abingdon island giant tortoise) is the source of this 541-nucleotide non-coding RNA. NCBI's taxonomy places the organism in Eukaryota, Metazoa, Chordata, Testudines, Testudinidae. The record is from RefSeq and is a predicted model, not a curated record.
CCUGGGCGACCGGCUCCUGCGCCCAUUGGGGAACGUGUGGCUGGAAAACGGGCGUCAUUGAGCAGAUUGGAGCUCUGCUUCCCCCAAUCGCUUCCGCCCAGCAGAUGCUGAGAGCCUGACGCGGAUGUUAGAGCAUUGCAGCAGCCUUCACCUCUUCCAGCUGCACGUCAGCUCGACAAGCGCUGCUGGAGCUGGACGCGGGCCAGGACGACGCUGCUAGAUGAGGAGGACCGGCCGAGCCGGAGGAGAGAAGCCGGAGUGAUGCUGGCCCUGUCCCCGCAGACUGCUGGACCAUCUCCCCGCUCUGCUACCUGCGAGGAUCCCAGCAGGUUUUCCCACGGCCCCUUGGGGCAACAAAUACUUGGCGGCGAUUCGCCGAACUGUCUCCACCAUAAACAGUCAGAACCGGUUUGGCCUGGAGCACACGGAGAGCCGCGGCGCCUGCAGGUGGACGGCUGGGCCACGCGCUCCGGUUCGCGGGCAAGCACCACCCUGCACGUCAUCCACCUCAGAUUACAUCCUGCUGUGCAUUCACCGUGCC